Phacochoerus africanus (Common warthog) is the source of this 107-nucleotide small nuclear RNA. Lineage: Eukaryota; Metazoa; Chordata; Mammalia; Artiodactyla; Suidae. The record is from RefSeq and is a predicted model, not a curated record.
GUGAUUGCUUCAGCUGCACAUAUACUAAAAUUGAAAUGAUACAGAGGAGAUUAGCAUGACCCCUGUUCAAGGAUGACAGGCAAAUUUGCGAAGCAUUCUAUAGAUUU